AAAUGCACAAGUGCAUUCAAACCCCUAAAUCCUCCCGGUACUAUCUCUUCACUCAUUCUCUGUUUCAUCCGCAAUCUUCACUCCUACCUCCUCCUGAUGUUUGUCGUUCAGCUCAGAUGGCUCCCAUCUCUCUCUCCGCAAACGAGGACAUGAGUGGAGGAUCACCAAUCAAAGGCCAAUGGUGUAUUCGCUCAGUCUCUUGAUCUGAUCUGAUUCUGGCAAUUGUUUUCAUUCAACUAUGAGAGUGGCAACGCAGCAGCAGAAGUAUAUUAGUUGAAAACCCAAAAUCUAUUCUGUCACGAUCGGGAUCAAGUAUGCGGCCAAAAUCUCCUCGAGACCACAGUACUUCUGGACAAGAGUCAACCAUCACCACUUGCAGAACACCAAGAAAAUCCAUUGUGAGAGGCGGCAAAUUUUCAUGACCAGUUCAACCAUGAAGACUCAGCCACUACUUCAAAAAGGCCUCAUGUUCCAAAGGGGGAUCACUCGCCUCCCUGAAGUUGCACAAAGAGGACGGAACAUGGAUAACCCUGUAGUGUGUUUCUCUUAAAGCCAAAUUAGUGGGUAGAUUAGGCUUAUGAAUGUAUCUGUCUAUUGGUAUGUGGAUAAGGCAGUGGGAAACUUCACACUUACUGUGCCUUUCUUUAUGGAAAUGCCUCAAUGAGAAUGUUCAAACUUCAAAGUGUGGCUCAGCUUGUCAGGGAUCAGUUGACAAAGCAAACAAUUAAUGCUGCAUAUGUGGGAUACUUAUCUAGCUUGAGUUGUCAUUACAGGGGGAAGUAUAUCAUGGCUAUUUUAUGACUGCUUUGUGUAAUCCCCCCUAAGAACUGCAAUAACAUGGAAGACCGGACACAUGUGAGAUCUUCAGAUUAAAGGAGUUUCAGGAGGACUUGGAAUAUCUGCCUGACAAGGAGAAGAAAGUGCUGCAGUUAGAGGAUAUGAGGUUCCCCAUUGUUGAAGUUUCAGCAGCCAUUCAUUCAUGUGGUUCUUUAUUUCGAUGGUAAUAUCGUUUUGAUGCUGAUAUUUAUCUCUGAGAGCUUUACAAGAAAGGAUGUCAUUUGGAUUUGAUAUGUAUGCUCUCAAGCUGGUCAGUUGCUUCAGUAUUUAUGAAAUUACUCGGUACUUUUGACAGGUGUGUAUAGUGCAUCUGUAGACCAGGGUUGUAAGCCGCAUUGGCAGUCAAUUUUGUAUUUAUAGUUGAAGAGUUACAACUUCACAAUAGUCCUCUAACAAUGCAUAUAUUCCAAAUCCCUGUAUAAUGCAAGUCAUAUAUGUAGAAACUCAGUUAGCCCUAUUCUAAUUUAGCCAUACAAAUUAUUUGUAUAGAAAGUUACCUGGCAUCCAUUAAACAUAUUAAGAAAUAAUUUUGCUA
Long non-coding RNA from Papaver somniferum (opium poppy), 1372 nucleotides. RefSeq lists it as uncharacterized. The transcript has 6 exons. NCBI's taxonomy places the organism in Eukaryota, Viridiplantae, Streptophyta, Magnoliopsida, Ranunculales, Papaveraceae. The record is from RefSeq and is a predicted model, not a curated record.